Molecule: ribosomal RNA, 760 nt
Filed under: Salmonella enterica
Lineage: Bacteria; Pseudomonadati; Pseudomonadota; Gammaproteobacteria; Enterobacterales; Enterobacteriaceae
Description: partial 23S ribosomal RNA
Rfam family: Bacterial large subunit ribosomal RNA
Source: RNAcentral
GUCUGCGUGGAGCCGACCUUGAAAUACCACCCUUUAAUGUUUGAUGUUCUAACGUGGACCCGUAAUCCGGGUUGCGGACAGUGUCUGGUGGGUAGUUUGACUGGGGCGGUCUCCUCCUAAAGAGUAACGGAGGAGCACGAAGGUUGGCUAAUCCUGGUCGGACAUCAGGAGGUUAGUGCAAUGGCAUAAGCCAGCUUGACUGCGAGCGUGACGGCGCGAGCAGGUGCGAAAGCAGGUCAUAGUGAUCCGGUGGUUCUGAAUGGAAGGGCCAUCGCUCAACGGAUAAAAGGUACUCCGGGGAUAACAGGCUGAUACCGCCCAAGAGUUCAUAUCGACGGCGGUGUUUGGCACCUCGAUGUCGGCUCAUCACAUCCUGGGGCUGAAGUAGGUCCCAAGGGUAUGGCUGUUCGCCAUUUAAAGUGGUACGCGAGCUGGGUUUAGAACGUCGUGAGACAGUUCGGUCCCUAUCUGCCGUGGGCGCUGGAGAACUGAGGGGGGCUGCUCCUAGUACGAGAGGACCGGAGUGGACGCAUCACUGGUGUUCGGGUUGUCAUGCCAAUGGCACUGCCCGGUAGCUAAAUGCGGAAGAGAUAAGUGCUGAAAGCAUCUAAGCACGAAACUUGCCCCGAGAUGAGUUCUCCCUGAGACUUAGAGUCUCCUGAAGGAACGUUGAAGACGACGACGUUGAUAGGCCGGGUGUGUAAGCGCAGCGAUGCGUUGAGCUAACCGGUACUAAUGAACCGUGAGGCUUAACCUUACA